This 540-nucleotide long non-coding RNA is filed under the name Lynx pardinus (Iberian lynx). The record is from RNAcentral. Lineage: Eukaryota; Metazoa; Chordata; Mammalia; Carnivora; Felidae.
GGUUGGAUACAGUAUACUUUAUUGAUGGUACACGAUAAGGUAGGGCUCCCCAAGCCCCUCCCCUUCUUCAGGGGGUCUGGGAUGGAAACUGGAGGUCAGGAGAUUCUCAAGUGUGUUGGGUGAUGAACGGGGGCAAGGACUCCCCAGCAGCUGACGGCCUCUCUCUUCUUCCUCUUGCUGGGGCUGGUGGUCCAGGGGGCUCUUACUCCUUGGAGGCCAUGUGGACCAUAAGGUCCACCACCCGGUUGCUGUAGCCAAAUUCAUUGUCAUACCUGAAAGAGGAUCAAGAGUUCAGGCUUAUUUUCAUGAACCGGCCACCAGAGGGCGCCACACCCCCAACCACACCCCAGCAGCAUACCAGGAAAUGAGCUUGACAAAGUGGUCAUUGAGCGCAAUGCCAGCCCCAGCGUCGAAGGUGGAAGAGUGGGUGUCACUGUUAAAGUCGCAGGAGACAACCUGGUCCUCAGUGUAGCCCAGGAUGCCCUUGAGGGGGCCCUCUGAUGCCUGCUUCACCACCUUCUUGAUGUCAUCGUAUUUGGC